This 65-nucleotide small nucleolar RNA is filed under the name Choloepus hoffmanni (Hoffmann's two-fingered sloth). RNAcentral's name for it is "Small nucleolar RNA SNORD89 (ENSCHOG00000015763.1)". The record is from RNAcentral. Lineage: Eukaryota; Metazoa; Chordata; Mammalia; Pilosa; Megalonychidae.
CUUGAGGAAUGAUGACAGCAAAAGGCCAAAUUGCCAGUGCCUCCAAAUUUCAGUUUGCCCUCUGU